RNAcentral lists this ribosomal RNA (477 nucleotides) under Veillonella parvula. RNAcentral's name for it is "bacterial SSU rRNA". It matches the Rfam family "Bacterial small subunit ribosomal RNA", at positions 28 to 474 of the family's 1533-position model. The record is from RNAcentral. Lineage: Bacteria; Bacillati; Bacillota; Negativicutes; Veillonellales; Veillonellaceae.
GACGAACGCUGGCGGCGUGCUUAACACAUGCAAGUCGAACGAAGAGCGAUGGAAGCUUGCUUCUAUCAAUCUUAGUGGCGAACGGGUGAGUAACGCGUAAUCAACCUGCCCUUCAGAGGGGGACAACAGUUGGAAACGACUGCUAAUACCGCAUACGAUCUAAUCUCGGCAUCGAGGAUAGAUGAAAGGUGGCCUCUACAUGUAAGCUAUCACUGAAGGAGGGGAUUGCGUCUGAUUAGCUAGUUGGAGGGGUAACGGCCCACCAAGGCGAUGAUCAGUAGCCGGUCUGAGAGGAUGAACGGCCACAUUGGGACUGAGACACGGCCCAGACUCCUACGGGAGGCAGCAGUGGGGAAUCUUCCGCAAUGGACGAAAGUCUGACGGAGCAACGCCGCGUGAGUGAUGACGGCCUUCGGGUUGUAAAGCUCUGUUAAUCGGGACGAAAGGCCUUCUUGCGAAUAGUUAGAAGGAUAGACG